This 48-nucleotide ribosomal RNA is filed under the name Longidorus elongatus. Its description in RNAcentral is "partial 26S ribosomal RNA". Lineage: Eukaryota; Metazoa; Nematoda; Enoplea; Dorylaimida; Longidoridae. The record is from RNAcentral.
GGCGGAGGAAAAGAAAUUAACGAAGAUUUCCUUAGUAACGUCGAGUGA